UUGGGAGGGGUGAAGACUCCUUUGGCCUCUACAAUCUUGGGUCUAUGGCUUGAAGAGAAAUCCAUUCCUGUUCAGUGUGAAUAUGCCUUAUGACUUCCCAGACAGCAAAAAUAAGAAGACCCAAGAGACAGAAGAGGCUGUGGACUCCAGCAUCCUCUCCACCUUCCCAUUCUACCUCAGCUGAACAUGGAAGCCUCAGAAGGAAAGCCUGUGCCCUUCUCCUUUCACCAGACCCCCGCUCAAACUGAUUGGAGAGGUCAGCUGAUCUCUUCCGUACCACUUCACCCCACUUACCCCCACCGAAGCCUUCCCUUCCCUCUGCCAAGACAGUAGCCUCAGUGAUAUAACAAAACCUUUAUUCUCAGAAAACAGAAAAAACAAAAUCAAAACCAAUAUUUUCUAUUUGGCCCUUGCCCCAACCCUCCCACCCACCCACAGAUCCUUCUUUUGUGGAGGACCUGUGAUGCAUGCAUAGGGGUGGGAGCUGAAGGAACCUGUGUUCCCGGGACAGAAAGAAGUCUUUUUGAGUUCAGGUACCCUCCUCCAAGCUGACACCACUCCCAGCCUUGCCCACCUCCAGACACACCAAGAGGGAGGGAUUCUGGAGCAGUGCCAGAGGAUUGCCCUGAAGUUCCUUGGGGAAGAGAGUAGCUGAGCCAGCACCACCCCCGUGGUCU
Long non-coding RNA from Pipistrellus kuhlii (Kuhl's pipistrelle), 677 nucleotides. RefSeq lists it as uncharacterized. The transcript has 2 exons. The record is from RefSeq and is a predicted model, not a curated record. NCBI's taxonomy places the organism in Eukaryota, Metazoa, Chordata, Mammalia, Chiroptera, Vespertilionidae.